AGGCAGGAAUCCCUUUGGGGAGAUGUGGCCUAAGGAGUGUGUUGCUGUAAGCCGGUCAACGAAUCAAGUCCCUUGGAAUAGGGCACCAGAGAGGGUGAUAGUCCCGUCCCUUGUUGACUGAACGGUUUCGUUAUGCAUCAUGCUUCGUGAGUCGGGUUGUUUGGGAAUGCAGCCCUAAUCGGGAGGUACGCACCUUCCAAGGCUAAAUAUUCAGGCGAGAGACCGAUAGCGAACAAGUACCGUGAGGGAAAGUUGAAAAGUACUCUGGAGAGAGAGUGAAAAGCGCGUGAAACCAUUAGUAGGGAACCGCUUGCACGGUGCACUGAGCAUUAUUGGCUUCGGCCGGUUUUGCCGCUCAACACCAGUUUGGCUUGCCGGAAAAAGGAGUGUGAAAGGUAGCUGCGCCUUCGGGGGCAGUGUUAUAGACACGCUUCAUAUACGGUGGGCCGGACUGAGGACUGCGACAACCUUUUGGGCGCUAGGCUGGGUAGGCCAGUGGUCUAGACUGUGUGGACAGCUUGCUGACCUCAUGGGACUAUGGCCGCUGCUCUUGCUCUUUUCUAGUGUAUUGUCAAGGGUGGUUGAGAAGCGCUGAACAAGCGACCCGUCUUGAAACACGGACCAAGGAGUCUAACUUAUGUGCGAGUUAUUGGGUUGCUAAACCCACUAGCGUAAUGAAAGUGAGAACUUCGUUCCUGGUACGAACCACUCUGUGGUGCAGUAUCCACCGGCGUGUUGCUCUUUAGGGUAACACGACUGAGUGCGAGCACAUAGGCUAGGACCCGAAAGAUGGUGAACUAUACUUGGGUAGGGCGAAGCCAGGGGAAACCCUGGUGGAGGCUCGCAGCGGUUCUGA
RNAcentral lists this ribosomal RNA (856 nucleotides) under Unguispora rhaphidophoridarum. RNAcentral describes it as "partial large subunit ribosomal RNA". It matches the Rfam family "Eukaryotic large subunit ribosomal RNA", at positions 111 to 889 of the family's 3401-position model. The record is from RNAcentral. Lineage: Eukaryota; Fungi; Kickxellomycota; Kickxellomycetes; Kickxellales; Kickxellaceae.